Non-coding RNA from Marasmius oreades (fairy-ring Marasmius), 106 nucleotides. NCBI's taxonomy places the organism in Eukaryota, Fungi, Basidiomycota, Agaricomycetes, Agaricales, Marasmiaceae. The record is from the annotation of a RefSeq genome assembly.
ACACCGUUGGUGAAGUGGUUAUCAUGCUUGCCUUCCAUGCAUGGUUAGAAAUGAUGUUCUACAAGAUUGAAAGCAAGCGGCUCGGGUUCGAUUCCCGAACGGUGUA